Molecule: ribosomal RNA, 577 nt
Filed under: uncultured bacterium
Lineage: Bacteria
Description: partial 16S ribosomal RNA
Rfam family: Bacterial small subunit ribosomal RNA
Source: RNAcentral
UGGGAAUUUUGGACAAUGGGCGAAAGCCUGAUCCAGCAAUGCCGCGUGUGUGAAGAAGGCCUUCGGGUUGUAAAGCACUUUUGUCCGGAAAGAAAUCCUUGGCUCUAAUACAGUCGGGGGAUGACGGUACCGGAAGAAUAAGCACCGGCUAACUACGUGCCAGCAGCCGCGGUAAUACGUAGGGUGCAAGCGUUAAUCGGAAUUACUGGGCGUAAAGCGUGCGCAGGCGGUUUGCUAAGACCGAUGUGAAAUCCCCGGGCUCAACCUGGGAACUGCAUUGGUGACUGGCAGGCUAGAGUAUGGCAGAGGGGGGUAGAAUUCCACGUGUAGCAGUGAAAUGCGUAGAGAUGUGGAGGAAUACCGAUGGCGAAGGCAGCCCCCUGGGCAAUACUGACGCUCAUGCACGAAAGCGUGGGGAGCAAACAGGAUUAGAUACCCUGGUAGUCCACGCCCUAAACGAUGUCAACUAGUUGUUGGGGAUUCAUUUCCUUAGUAACGUAGCUAACGCGUGAAGUUGACCGCCUGGGGAGUACGGUCGCAAGAUUAAAACUUAAAGGAAUUGACGGGGUCAUAGCUG